Bactrocera dorsalis (oriental fruit fly) is the source of this 2190-nucleotide RNA transcript. It is a transcript of the gene named nuclear envelope pore membrane protein POM 121-like, with no coding region annotated. The record is from RefSeq and is a predicted model, not a curated record. Lineage: Eukaryota; Metazoa; Arthropoda; Insecta; Diptera; Tephritidae. The transcript is spliced from 3 exons.
UGCAAUCAUCGAUCGGCUUGACAUAACCUAUGCCGACCAACGACCACUCUAUGUCCUGGAAGAUGAAAUGAGAAGGUUACAACAAGGAAAUUUAUCACUACAUGAAUACUACGAUCAAGUGAAUCAAGCGUUAAACCUGAUCCUGUCAAAGUUAGAAAUGACGUAUAAAAACGAAGCAGUCCUAGCAUCACAUAAUAAAGAAGCACAAUUAAAAGCCACGAGAACAUACAUCUCCGGCAUUAGAAGUUCCUCGAUCAAAAACGCAUUAUACUCCAGAUACUGUGCAUCACUCACAGAAGCUCACGAUAUAGCCAGAACUAUGCAACAUGAUGUCGGCUAUCAACACCUAGAAUACAUACCCAGGAUGCGACCACAUCCGCAACACAAUUAUACAGUAAUCAACAGGAACACAUUUCCUCAAAGGAUCCAACAACCCAGAGUAGAACCUAUGGAAACAGAUUCCUCAACACGAUUCCGACGACCUACACAUCAAAGAAACUUACAACUACCAAACAACCCACCAGUCCAACCAAGACAAGCAAUCCAAACAGUUGGCAACCAAUUCAAAAGGUAUAGAGACGAAACAGUCACUAACGCCCACAACAAAGCACAGCGAGUGAACCAACUCAACAAUGAAAGAAGCGAAAUCCAGUCACUCUACAACGAACCAAACAGCAACUACACUGAAGAAGAACAUUUUUUAUAAGAUACCACGGUCUACCAACACUCAAGAGAACCGCACCAGAUGUUAUAUUAUGCAGUACUUAGAUAUAAAACAUUGAAAACACAACGAAUUACACAAAAACGUUACGAGGAAAUACUACGAAAACAAGGAAUGGAAUACCUAACCAAGAAGAACACCACUACAACCGUAUAAAAAGGCAGGAGCCUUUACUCUUUUUUAAAGGAGGGGAGAGUUAAGGAACAUGUGUUACUUAAUCACAUUUUUGUAUCGAAAACAUAAAUUAUCAACUGGUAACCUAAACAAACAAUAACAAUAGUCUCGCCUAGCAUCAUAAAUGUAACAAACAAAAUGAAUGUGCGAAAAUGUAAACUGCACCAAACUAUCUCAUUAGCAAGUAAGCAAAUAUUGUAAAUGCACUAUCAAUACAACAGACAAUGUAUAUGUGUACAAACCUAAACAAAUAAUAUAAUCUGUAUCUACAGAAACUAUCAACUAGUAAUAAGUAAACAUUCUAGUUAGUAUAAAUAGAAGCAUAACCAUACACGCUUCGUCUUUUGUAUUUUGAAGAUUACGAAAUAAAGAACGUUCUGCUGUCAAGGCAGAACUAAAAUAAUUUCUUUGACUAAAAUAACCCAAGUGUUAUUAAUUAGCGCGCAAACUGAAAACACAUGCGCAAGCGACUGGUGGAGGCCCUCCGAUAAGUGGAAUGACUCCAUUCGAGGAGCAAGACAUAACAACAUUUGGGGCAGCAGCGGUAGAUGGAUUGCCGGGUGUUGCGACUUUGGGUCAUCAGGUUUUGCCGUUGUAUAUAAAUACACUUGAAGCUCCAGCUUCCUCGCCAACACCAACAGUCGCAUCGCCUGCUCCAUCACCCUCACUAGCAGUCGCAUCGCCUGUUCCAGCAUCUUCACUAGCAGUCGCAUCGCCUGUUCCAGCAUCUUCACUAGCAGUCAGAUCGCCUGCUCCAGCUUUUCCUGCUUUAUCAAACAAUUUUUCUUCCUCGCCAUCACCUCAUUUUUCUUCUUCACCAUCACCUCCAUCUUCUUCCUUAUCUCCUCCCAUAUUAUCUUCUUCUAUGCCGUCGCCUUCUUAUAUCCCUCCCGAAAAAUUGACUGCAGCGAAGAUGCUUGGAACAGUGCUGAAAAAAAUGGAGGACAGAGAAAAGCGAGAGGAGGAAGCCAUUGCUCUACAAAGGCAAAUUGUAGAGCAAAAUGCGCAGAUGACAGGGGUGCUGACUCAAAUGACACAGGCACUAACCUCGCUGUCAGAGGUUAUGGCUAAGUUGUCCCAAAAAUUGGAUAAAUAAUAAUAAAAAUGUAAAAAAUGAAAUAGAAAUGUAAAAAAUUAAAUGAAAAUGUAAAAAAUGAAAUAAAAAUGUAUAAAAUGAAAUAGAAAUGUAAAAAAUGAAAUAGAAAUGUAAAAAAUGAAAUAGAAAUGUAAAAAAUGAAAUAGAAAUGUAAAAAAUGAAAUAGAAAUGUAAAAAAUGAAAUAAAAAUGAAAAAAAA